Molecule: transfer RNA, 69 nt
Filed under: Todus angustirostris
Lineage: Eukaryota; Metazoa; Chordata; Aves; Coraciiformes; Todidae
Description: tRNA-Val
Source: RNAcentral
CAAGACGUAGCUAUAAAACAAAGCAUUCAGCUUACGCCUGAAAGAUAUCCACCCACUGGAUCGUCUUGA